Molecule: long non-coding RNA, 459 nt
Organism: Oryzias latipes (Japanese medaka)
Lineage: Eukaryota; Metazoa; Chordata; Actinopteri; Beloniformes; Adrianichthyidae
Source: RefSeq, a predicted model, not a curated record
GGAAAAGAAAAAAACAAGCACAUUUUGUCACGCUGAUCAAAGCGACAACAAGAGAACUUCAUGCCACAGAAAAAGAUGAAGAACUUCAACACCAAUCAAAAGUAUCAAAAAUAUUGGAGGUUGUGCAGCGUCCACAUCCCAAGAUGAUCCUGACUUCACUGAAGAUGUCAUCUCAGAGAGGCGUGUAUGGAAGAGGAGCAGACUGGAUCCAAAAUUCCACCUACCGGUACCUCAAAUCCAGUUGGUCCAGAUGAAUGACCAACCACAGUCUCUGAUCCAGUAAGAAUGGAUUUGGUGCAGAGAGGUCCUUUUCAGACUGAGAGACUCUGACUUUCCAGAAUCCCCCUCAUUGAGCUGUUGUGUUCUUUAUGUUGGAUUGUUUUAUCGUUAUUUGAGUUUCUAUUAAGUUGCUGUUUUUAAUAAUUUGGAGUUUUGUGAAUGUCAUUUGUUGAGUGCCUA